RNAcentral lists this ribosomal RNA (301 nucleotides) under uncultured bacterium. RNAcentral describes it as "partial 16S ribosomal RNA". It matches the Rfam family "Bacterial small subunit ribosomal RNA", at positions 509 to 808 of the family's 1533-position model. The record is from RNAcentral.
CAGUAAGCCACGGGAAUACAGAGGGUGCGAGCGUUAAUCGGAUUUACUGGGCGUAAAGCGUGCGUAGGCGGCUUCUUAAGUCGGAUGUGAAAUCCCUGAGCUUAACUUAGGAAUUGCAUUCGAUACUGGGAAGCUAGAGUAUGGGAGAGGAUGGUAGAAUUCCAGGUGUAGCGGUGAAAUGCGUAGAGAUCUGGAGGAAUACCGAUGGCGAAGGCAGCCAUCUGGCCUAAUACUGACGCUGAGGUACGAAAGCAUGGGGAGCAAACAGGAUUAGAUACCCCAGUAGUCCCUGUCUCUUAUA